AGUCGACGGAAGGUCUCUUCGGAGAUACUCGAGUGGCGAACGGGUGAGUAACACGUGGGUGAUCUGCCCUGCACUUUGGGAUAAGCCCGGGACACUGGGUCUAAUACCGAAUAGGACCACGGGAUGCAUGUCCUGUGGUGGAAAGCUUUUGCGGUGUGGGAUGGGCCCGCGGCCUAUCAGCUUGUUGGUGGGGUCACGGCCCACCAAGGCGACGACGGGUAGCCGGCCUGAGAGGGUGUACGGCCACACUGGGACUGAGAUACGGCCCAGACUCCUACGGGAGGCAGCAGUGGGGAAUAUUGCACAAUGGGCGCAAGCCUGAUGCAGCGACGCCGCGUGGGGGAUGACGGCCUUCGGGUUGUAAACCUCUUUCACCAUUGACGAAGGUCUGGGUCUUCUCAGGCUGACGGUAGGUGGAGAAGAAGCACCGGCCAACUACGUGCCAGCAGCCGCGGUAAUACGUAGGGUGCGAGCGUUGUCCGGAAUUACUGGGCGUAAAGAGCUCGUAGGUGGUUUGUCGCGUUGUUCGUGAAAACUCACGGCUCAACUGUGAGCGUGCGAGCGAUACGGGCAAGCUAGAGUACUGCAGGGGAGACUGGAAUUCCUGGUGUAGCGGUGGAAUGCGCAGAUAUCAGGAGGAACACCGGUGGCGAAGGCGGGUCUCUGGGCAGUAACNNNCGCUGAGGAGCGAAAGCGUGGGGAGCGNNNAGGAUUAGANNNNNNNGUAGUCCACGCCGUAAACGGUGGGUACUAGGUGUNNNNNNCCUUCCUCGGNNNUCGUGCCGUAGCUAACG
This 794-nucleotide ribosomal RNA is filed under the name uncultured bacterium. Its description in RNAcentral is "partial 16S ribosomal RNA". It matches the Rfam family "Bacterial small subunit ribosomal RNA", at positions 60 to 857 of the family's 1533-position model. The record is from RNAcentral.